This 250-nucleotide ribosomal RNA is filed under the name uncultured bacterium. RNAcentral describes it as "partial 16S ribosomal RNA". It matches the Rfam family "Bacterial small subunit ribosomal RNA", at positions 524 to 773 of the family's 1533-position model. The record is from RNAcentral.
UACGAAUGGGGCAAGCGUUGUUCGGAAUCACUGGGCUUAAAGCGUGCGUAGGCGGAUUUGCAAGUCAGAAGUGAAAUCCCAGGGCUUAACCCUGGAAUUGCUUUUGAAACUGCAAAUCUAGAAGAUUGAAGAGGUUAGCAGAAUUCCGAGUGUAGAGGUGAAAUUCGCAGAUAUUCGGAGGAAUACCAAUGGCGUAGGCAGCUAACUGGGCAAUUUUUGACGCUGAGGCACGAAAGCGUGGGGAGCAAAC